This 270-nucleotide ribosomal RNA is filed under the name uncultured prokaryote. RNAcentral describes it as "partial 16S ribosomal RNA". It matches the Rfam family "Bacterial small subunit ribosomal RNA", at positions 524 to 792 of the family's 1533-position model. The record is from RNAcentral.
UACGUAGGGUGCGAGCGUUGUCCGGAAUUACUGGGCGUAAAGAGCUCGUAGGUGGUUUGUCACGUCGUCUGUGAAAUUCCGGGGCUUAACUCCGGGCGUGCAGGCGAUACGGGCAUAACUUGAGUACUGUAGGGGAGACUGGAAUUCCUGGUGUAGCGGUGAAAUGCGCAGAUAUCAGGAGGAACACCGAUGGCGAAGGCAGGUCUCUGGGCAGUUACUGACGCUGAGGAGCGAAAGCAUGGGUAGCGAACAGGAUUAGAUACCCCAGUA